RNAcentral lists this ribosomal RNA (299 nucleotides) under uncultured eukaryote. Its description in RNAcentral is "partial 18S ribosomal RNA". It matches the Rfam family "Eukaryotic small subunit ribosomal RNA", at positions 1469 to 1796 of the family's 1831-position model. The record is from RNAcentral.
ACCCUUAGACGCUCCGGGCGGCACGCGCGCUACAUUGAAUUAUAGAGGUUGGAACACGUUCUGUAAGGAUUUGUUCACCAUAAAUUUAUUUGGAAAUGGGAUAGGCAAUUGCAAUUUUUUGUUUUUAACUUGGAAUCCCUUGUAGUCACGGUUGAGAUUAUCGUGCUGAAUACGUCCCUGCUGUUUGUACACACCGCCCGUCGUUUCUUCCGACUGGCGCCAACCGUGAGUUGUGUGGAUAUGUUAAUUUUUAGAGCUGCUGCAAGCGCUUGGUGUUGGAGGAAGAAAAAGUCGUAACA